AAGUCGUAACAAGGUUUCCGUAGGUGAACCUGCGGAAGGAUCAUUAACACGUAUCCAACGUUAAACCCCCUGUGAACCUUCAUUGUACGAGUUACAUCCACGUCAUAAACCGGCAAUCUCGUUUUGAUUCAGAGACCUCUGGGAAGGGUGUACGGUAGUGCGAGGCAAUUGACCUGGCAUUCCUCUGCUUGUUAGUGUCUGAAAGUGUCACUAGCUAUGUACGGAUGGCGCAGUAACGAUCGCUGGAGGCCGACACGGCCGGCGACCAGGUCACUGGGCUACGGCCCCCCUGAUCACAACCUUUGCAUGAAAACGGGCCUGCGCUGAGGUGCGGCCACCCCUAAUGCUUGAACAACUGUUAACAAUGGAUAUCUUGGUUCUC
Molecule: unclassified non-coding RNA, 382 nt
Filed under: fungal sp.
Lineage: Eukaryota; Fungi
Description: partial internal transcribed spacer region
Rfam family: Eukaryotic small subunit ribosomal RNA (bases 1-46)
Source: RNAcentral